CACGUAGGAGGCAAACGUUAUCCGGAUUUACUGGGCGUAAAGCGCGUGUAGGUGGUUCUGUAAGUAGGGCGUGAAAGCUCCCGGCUCAACUGGGAGAGGCCGUUCUAAACUGCAGAGCUAGAGGAUGGUAGAGGGAGGUGGAAUUCCAGGUGUAGCGGUGGAAUGCGCAGAUAUCUGGAGGAACACCAGUGGCGAAGGCGGCCUCCUGGACCAUUCCUGACACUCAGACGCGAAAGCUAGGAUAGCAAACGGGAUUAGAUACCCGUGUAGU
RNAcentral lists this ribosomal RNA (271 nucleotides) under uncultured prokaryote. RNAcentral describes it as "partial 16S ribosomal RNA". It matches the Rfam family "Bacterial small subunit ribosomal RNA", at positions 524 to 794 of the family's 1533-position model. The record is from RNAcentral.